Molecule: ribosomal RNA, 427 nt
Filed under: Stutzerimonas stutzeri
Lineage: Bacteria; Pseudomonadati; Pseudomonadota; Gammaproteobacteria; Pseudomonadales; Pseudomonadaceae
Also listed under: 1 other name
Description: bacterial SSU rRNA
Rfam family: Bacterial small subunit ribosomal RNA
Source: RNAcentral
AGUGGGGAAUAUUGGACAAUGGGCGAAAGCCUGAUCCAGCCAUGCCGCGUGUGUGAAGAAGGUCUUCGGAUUGUAAAGCACUUUAAGUUGGGAGGAAGGGCAGUAAGUUAAUACCUUGCUGUUUUGACGUUACCAACAGAAUAAGCACCGGCUAACUUCGUGCCAGCAGCCGCGGUAAUACGAAGGGUGCAAGCGUUAAUCGGAAUUACUGGGCGUAAAGCGCGCGUAGGUGGUUCGUUAAGUUGGAUGUGAAAGCCCCGGGCUCAACCUGGGAACUGCAUCCAAAACUGGCGAGCUAGAGUAUGGCAGAGGGUGGUGGAAUUUCCUGUGUAGCGGUGAAAUGCGUAGAUAUAGGAAGGAACACCAGUGGCGAAGGCGACCACCUGGGCUAAUACUGACACUGAGGUGCGAAAGCGUGGGGAGCAAA